Molecule: ribosomal RNA, 331 nt
Filed under: uncultured soil bacterium
Lineage: Bacteria
Description: bacterial SSU rRNA
Rfam family: Bacterial small subunit ribosomal RNA
Source: RNAcentral
AGAUUGAACGCUGGCGGCAUGCCUAACACAUGCAAGUCGAACGGGAGUAGCAAUACUCUAGUGGCGGACGGGUGAGGAAUACGUAGGAAUUUGCCCUUAAGUGGGGGAUAACCCGGGGAAACCCGGAUUAAUACCGCAUGACCUCGAAAGAGUAAAGUGGGGGAUCGCAAGACCUCACGCUUUUGGAGAAGCCUACGUCGGAUUAGCUAGUCGGUGAGGUAAUGGCUCACCAAGGCGACGAUCCGUAACUGGUCUGAGAGGAUGAUCAGUCACACCGGAACUGAGACACGGUCCGGACUCCUACGGGAGCAGCAGUGGGAAUAUUGGACAA